Long non-coding RNA from Xiphophorus hellerii (green swordtail), 2127 nucleotides. RefSeq lists it as uncharacterized. The transcript has 2 exons. The record is from RefSeq and is a predicted model, not a curated record. NCBI's taxonomy places the organism in Eukaryota, Metazoa, Chordata, Actinopteri, Cyprinodontiformes, Poeciliidae.
ACAAAGUUGGUGGCUUUGAUCAAAAUGACCAAAUUAGGGCAACAGCUGAUUUUCAGGAUUGUCAAAUUGUCUUCACUGAAUGCCUGCCCUGCCUGAUGAGGGGGGAGCAGUAGAGCAGUUGAUGGAGUUGUUGGACUUCCGUUUUACCAAGAUGAACCUAGUAAUGCAAGGAGCUGGAGAGCUCAAGGAUUCGUGUUUUUGGGGGCUCAGCCUCUAACAGACACAGAGGAACUGUUCCCUUCUUCUGUUGGAUGGAGACAACACCUUCGUAGUUCACCCUGGAGAACAGUUAAAGCCAUCCAGAGGGGUCAGAGGUCACCGCAGGGGGCCGCGCUGAUCUGUGAUGCUGUUUAGCUGCACUGUGGUUCUGCUGAUCUGUCUUCUGUUUUUUUUAAGUUAUUUUUUCAGGACUCCAUUUCAUUUGCCAUAGUUUGUUCAUUAAUCUCAUUUUCCAACUUUAUCAUUAAAUACAUGUAUAUAUAACUUUUCUUUUCCAUCAGUAGCUAGACUGCAUGUCAGUAGUUAGAGAUUAUUUAGAGAUAAUUCAGCUGUAAAGUUACUAAGUGAAGCUAUUUUUCAAUAAAUUCUCGGACUUCAUUGGAAAUAAGUGUCAGUGAUGAUUCUUCAUAUGAAGUUUCUUCUGUUUGUAGUUUUGAAUUUAUUAUGUCACAAAAUACUGAUGAGUUCUUCAUGAUGGCUCAGAUUUAACUAAACAAUUUCUAACUUAAUUUCAUAAAUAAUCAAAAAUGUUAAGCUAAACAUGGAUCCAAAUUGGUAAAAAUAUCACAGUAAUAAACUGCACAAUAAGAAUACAUUUACAACAUAGUAAAUACAGCACUGCACAGUUAGUAAUAGUAGCAUACUCAAAUUAAAAUAAUCCCGAUCAGGGAUCUACUCUACUGGAAUCUACUGUGCUAAGAACAGCAGGGAUGUAAACGCCGAGUUUGUUGGGAGCCGUGAGGUUAGAGACUGAGCAGCUGCUGGGAGGAAGGAUCUGUGAUGACGCUCUUUUGUGCCCCAGUGAUAACGCGGUCUGUUUCUGAAGGCGCUUUCCAUGAAUGAUUAUAUUUCUGAUGGGAAAGAUAGACUCCAUCUUCACUGCAGGUGAUGGGCCCAGACCUGUAACCCAACUGGCUCUUAAUGGGCAGAGUGGUUUAGGAAUGUUGUUUUCAGUGCUGGGUUAUAGAAUAAUCUCAAAAACCGCAAAAGACAAACAGAAGAAAUUAUUAACUAUUGAAAUAUUUGUCAAAGUUUUUGCUAUUUUUUUAUUUAAAUUUUUUAUGACUUUUAAGCAGAUGGCUGAAACUGGCUGAAGAAUUAGAUUUAUUGUUGCUUUUUCAAAGGAAGUUUUCUCCUGCUUUACCACAAGGUGGCGGCGCAGCGCCUUCAAGAUGGUUUACUCGCUUAAACCUCUCAUUUAAUACUUGCUGCAGAAGUAAAUAUAGCAUUAGCAGAUUUGCAUAUAGCAUUAGCAAUGUCUGCAGUAACAAUAUAUUCGGUUCAUUAUUGGUGUUAUUUCAAAAACAUUGUCUUCUAGGAGAAAAGGUCGAUUUCCAGCGCAGACUGCUGGAAACCAGCUGAAAAACCCAAAUAAACCCAGAACCUCCAGCAGAUUUAAGGAUGAAUGGAAAUGUCUUCCUGCGACAGACUGGCGACCUGUCCAGAUGACCCCGCCUCUCCUCUGCUCCUUCUGCCGGUCUGCUUAAGGUCGACGGUCAAUCAUCAUUUAAACAUCCGUUGACUUCAGGUUGUUGCUUCCAUCCAGCAGGUCUGACAUAAUUUACAGCUCUGUCUGUCUGUUACCACAAAAAUAAUCAGAGCCCAAAUUAACUCAAGUUUAGUGUCACUUUUCCAAAACCUGAGAUUUUCCUGAAGGAAAUUAAUGUAUAAAGAUUCACUAAAGACUGAAACAUCCAAGCAUCUUUUUGGUUAAAAGGUAAAUGUGUCUUUUUUGUGUGGUAUGUAAACUUAUGGUUUUCUGCUAUAAUACAAAAUGAAUAUAUGAUGGAGCUCCAUGCAAACAUUCCUACUCCAUUACCCAGAAUUCUCUGAUACCUAAAACCUUUAAUACAAAGAAAUGUACUUUAUUUCCCACAGUCAAUUAAAAAAGCCAUUUUCAUACUCUGA